Molecule: ribosomal RNA, 447 nt
Filed under: uncultured bacterium
Lineage: Bacteria
Description: bacterial SSU rRNA
Rfam family: Bacterial small subunit ribosomal RNA
Source: RNAcentral
UCGGGAAUUUUGGGCAAUGGGCGAAAGCCUGACCCAGCAACGCCGCGUGAAGGAUGAAGUAUUUCGGUAUGUAAACUUCGUAAGAAUAGGAAGAAUAAAUGACGGUACUAUUUGUAAGGUCCGGCUAACUACGUGCCAGCAGCCGCGGUAAUACGUAGGGACCAAGCGUUGUUCGGAUUUACUGGGCGUAAAGGGCGCGUAGGCGGUUUGUCAAGUCAGUUGUGAAAUCUCCGAGCUUAACUCGGAACGGUCAACUGAUACUGUCAAACUAGAGUACAGAAGGGGCAAUCGGAAUUCUUGGUGUAGCGGUGAAAUGCGUAGAUAUCAAGAGGAACACCUGAGGCGAAGGCGGGUUGCUGGGCUGAUACUGACGCUGAAGCGCGAAAGCUAGGGUAGCAAACGGGAUUAGAUACCCGCGUAUUCCCUGAGCGGGCUGGCAAGGCGCAU